This 161-nucleotide ribosomal RNA is filed under the name uncultured bacterium. RNAcentral describes it as "partial 16S ribosomal RNA". It matches the Rfam family "Bacterial small subunit ribosomal RNA", at positions 355 to 532 of the family's 1533-position model. The record is from RNAcentral.
UGGGGAAUAUUGCACAAUGGGGGGAAACCCUGAUGCAGCGACGCCGCGUGAAGGAAGAAGUAUCUCGGUAUGUAAACUUCUAUCAGCAGGGAAGAAAGUGACGGUACCUGACUAAGAAGCCCCGGCUAACUACGUGCCAGCAGUCGCGGUAAUCUGUCUGU